Camelus dromedarius (Arabian camel) is the source of this 8492-nucleotide long non-coding RNA. RefSeq lists it as uncharacterized. The record is from RefSeq and is a predicted model, not a curated record. The transcript is spliced from 6 exons. Lineage: Eukaryota; Metazoa; Chordata; Mammalia; Artiodactyla; Camelidae.
GAUAUUCUUGCUAGUAUUGUCCUUUCAGUAGUCAAGUUGAGUUAACCAUUGAACGAACUGAAGUUUAAAAAGGAUAAGUUGAGUGCCAGAUUUCACUUAAAUGUAUCUGUAUAAAAAAGGAGUUUGGAAUUAGAAGAAGAAGAAUUGUAAACAUGUUCGUUUUAAACCAGAAAUUAAUUCAGGAUUUAAAAAGAUAGUAUGGUGGGAGUGAAACAUUGAUGAAGAUGCAAUUUUUUGUUUUUGGGUUUUUUUUGGGGGGGGGUAAUUAAGUUUAUUUAUUUAUUAUUUUUUAUUUAAUGGAGGUACUGGGGAUCGAACCCAUGACCUCAUGCAUGCUAAGUAUGUGCUCUACUACCCCCUCGAAGAUGCAAUUUUGACAGUGACAACAUGAGGCAAGUUGGGAGACAGGAAAUCGGCAAACUCCCUGGGUUGGCCAGACAGGGUCAGUUCAAUUUGUAAUUUUUACUUUAAUUCAGAAAAGGACCUGUAUUCAUGUAUUAGUCAGGGCCCUCCAGAGAAACUGAACCAACAGGAUACUUGUUUGUUUAUUUGUUUGAUUGUUUACUGUGAAGAAUUGGCUCAUGUGAUGAUGGAGGCUGAGAAACCCCAUAAUCUGCUGUCUGUGAGCUGGAUACCAGGGAAAGCUGGUGACAAAAUGCUGCCUGAAUCAGAAGACCUGAGAACCAGACUUGCCCAAUAUUACGUGUGAAAAUUAAGGACUUGUCGAAAGACACAGAAUUAUUGGUGAUAAUCAAGACUAAAAUCUAAGGAAUCUGAUACACACAGAGAAGACCAUAUGAAGAUAGGAAAGGAGAAAGAAGAAGAAACCAACCAUGCUGACACCUUGAUCUUGGACUUCUAGCCUCCAAAACUGAAAACUGUGAGGAAAUAAAUUGUUGUUGUCUGAGCCACGCAGUCCGAGGAAUAACACUUGGAAUUAUUAGAGCAGACACCUGGCACAAUGGUCAGGCAGUACAGCAUUACCUUAUAAUCAGCCCAUCAUGGAGAUGAAAAUAACACCAUGCCACAGUGUGACAACUGUAAGGCUGCAAGAAGCAAGACAAUACCCAGCCUGUGAUGACAACACACAUUCUGCCAACACUACAGAAAAUGAGUCCGCAAAUUGCCUACUCCAAGCUUUUCCACAUGAGUCUGUUCCCAAAUACUCGCCUCAAUUCUGAGAGAAUGCCUCUAGGAAGAUGAAGAGGGAGAGCUCUGAGAAGCAUUGUGGUGCAGCGCUUCUUUAAAAACCUGAGAGGGAUACUACGGUUAUCUUCAUCCUACAGAAGAGAUAGCUGAGGUUGAAGAGGUCAAUUAGCUCAACCAACUAUAAAGCGGCAGAGGAUGGAGCGUUAACUCCCACCUAAAACCAUGCUCAUAACCAUCAUGUUAACUGGCUUUCCAUGCAUGAACUGUGAUCAUGCAGCUUUCCACCUGCUCCUUGAAUUGAAGCAGAUGUUAUCUGUAGAUUUUGGCAGAGUCAACACUGAUGGUUCUGACUUCUCGUUACAAUACCAAGAACUAAUUAUACAUCUUCCAUAGAGCCACUGCAGUGGCAUGGACAAGUUGAAGGCAGUGCGAUUCUGGACAAUUUACCACAGUAAUGGAGUAUCUACUGGGCGUGAUGCCUUACACAAGGAGCAGUCCAUUGGCAAAGAGAAAAGAUGUGCGAAUGAUGGACUCUAUUCCUAAGCAGUUUAAUGAGAACACAUUUUAAGUGUGAAAGACCUGGUAAAUAAUUAAAUAGCAAGAAUUUAAUUUCAAAGGAGUUGUAAGUACUGGUUCACUGUGUAAAGGUCUACUGAGUGCAAAGAAAACUACUCGAGGAGCUGGCACAUGAGUUUUGAUGAAGUGUCUGAAAAUUCUGAGAUACAGAUUACUAGAGACGGAAGAAAAGUUGGAGAGGAAGCCAAGUGUAAAUAAAAGCACAGAUGCAGGAUGUAGCAACUUGGUUGGCAAGUGAUGGGCAUGACUAGAACCGGAAUCUGUGACAGAGCCAGCGGCCGGGAGAGCAGGUUUUGGACCAGCUGGCAUGACCUCAGCGUGUUCAGACAAACUCUGUUCUUUCAAUGACCCCAGGCAUUGUUCAGGCCAUCUUGUUUGUCACUAUCUGUCUUUGUAUCAUUCCUCAGACUUUCUGUAUGUCUUAAGCAUGAAACAAUUUCCUUCUCUAGUCUCAUAGAACUGACUUAUACAUAAUCUACAGCCUUCAUUGCCAGCCACUAACUAUCUCCCAGGUAUGCCUUCCCAGGUUCAAAGGAGCCUAUGCAUAAAAAAUUUGCUACAUUUUCCCACUGAUGGAAAUAUCACAUCAUAUCAGUCAGACACUGUGCAUCGGCACUUAAGCAAUCAACAAGCUUUUACUGAAUUCCUUGAUGUGCAGGGUAUGGGUCAAGGCCCUAUUCCUAAAAAUUAGGUGUUUCAUAAAAAGCAUGCACAAUGAUUCAGAAAUUCCUUUUUCUUUGACAUGAAAAGAGCUGAGUGAAAUCUUUAGGCUUUGUUAAAAAUGAUAGAACUUGGAACUUUUCAGACAGACAGUGAAUGUGGGUGUUAAGUGGGUUUUCAAUGGUAUUUGGUUCAUCAAAUUUAUCUUGCAUUAUUAUUUUUGUCUUUAAAAGUAGAAUAUUUGGGAUGGGGGAACACUGCCUUUAUUUUUAAGAAUUUUUUCAGUUUCCUGAAAAUAGAAAUAAUGAAGGAGAGAAAAGAACAAACGGUAAAGCUUUGGAUAAGUCAAGGCAUGACUACUUUCUAAUGUCAAAACAGCUAAGUAUAUUUUCUGUUAUGAUGUGCAGGGGGACAAUCAGCCUAGCAAGCAUGUGUAACAUUUUCAGAUUCAAAUCCAGCUGUACAAACUACUAUUGUAACAAGUAGUUCACCCUUAAACUACCCCUGCCAUCUCGAUCACUGACUCCCAUCAAUUUGUGCCAUGAUUAAGAGCAAGCUUCUGCCUGGGUUCAAAUCCCAGCUCUGCUAUUCACUAAGAUAUCUCAUAGGGUUGUUACGAGGAUUGAAUAAAUCAAUAUGCAUAAAAGCUGCACAAUGUAAGCACUAUAUGUUAACUGAUAGCACUCAUAAAAUAAAAAUAAAGGAAAAUGAACUUGUUACUCAGUUCUGUGACUAUAAUAACACUAACAUUUUCUUCGUAAUACUGAUACUAUUUGAGAUGAAAGUUACAAUCUGUCAAGCAUUGUGCCUAUUUUACAAUUUAUUUAAUCCUCACAAGGAAGCCUUCCAUGAAGUGGUGUCAUUACUGUUCCCCUGAUUUUACAGUUGGGGAGUCAAGUGAUUUGCCUAGGAUCACACAGGUAGAACUUAGUAGAGCAGAAUUUGACACCGAGGCAGUAUGAUUUCAGAACUUGCUUUUAGUCACUCUGCUACACUGUCUCUGCAUAAUUGUCCAUAGUUGUGAAGCCAGUUCCUAAAAUCCCAUUAGUUUCUAUCUUCUCUAGAAACAAAUUGGAAUUUUCUCCUUCCUUCUGUCUUCUCCAGAUAGCCUCAGAACCCAGGACAACUAACUUCCUCUGUAAGGGUGAUGAAACUGGACAGCUGCUUCCUAGGGCUAAGGUGAAGAUGCAGACAGUAUGCAGCCCCUUCCAGCCACUGGAGAGGAGUUCUACCAUAGGACCAAAAGACCCCUCAGCCUUCUGUUCCAUGGAUGGCUUCUCAAUGAUCUGUUUGCACAUUUUUUUCCUGCUUGGUAAUUAGCACCAGCUGUCUCAACUUAAAAGGAAGGAAUCCCUUUGAAAUCCUCCCUAUCCUCCGUGAAAUGUGCUACUGAAACGUGCUAAUUAGUAACUGGACUUAGGACAACACAGACAUGUGUUUCCUGUGAGUACUUUGCAAGGGAGAGGAGGAGGAAUAGGAACAUCUGUUUAGUUGCAUAUGUGUGUGUAUGCUUUUCUAAUUUUCAAGAUGACAUUUUUAAUGAAAAUCUAUCUGCUCAAAUGUGAUUGGUAGCCAGUAGCUAAGGUCCAGACCCCCCCAUGCAUUAUUUUUUCUCCCUUCCUUUGUAUUCCCUGUUCAAGCUUGUCAGUAUUCCUGUGUGCAGAGAGCAGGGCCAGUGGAGGCUUCCCUCUCUGCCUCAGGAAAUUGACUGCCCUGUCAGCAUCCUCUCACUCUUCACCAGAGUAUCAGGAAUCAUGGGGCUCUAGGGAAAUGAAAAAAUAACUCCUCUUCCUUUGGGGACCACUGUCCCAGAGUAAGCUGAUAGCCAAGUGGGACUGUCACAAUUAGCCUUCCCCAGAAUUUGAGGAGAAAGCUUAGAAACAUAAUGUAGCAUUGUGUUAAAUGCACUUUGCUAAAAAUGGAGAAGCCACUGGUUGGCCAGUUUAAACUAUGGUUGAAAAUCUGUAUCUUCACAAAUAAUUUUGAGCAGCAAGUUCCAGAGUUUCAAACUACCUUGCUGGUCUGGGGGCAAGAGCUGCUCAUGGCAUAGAUGGGAAGUUUUUUGGUUCUAUGGGAGCCUUUGGGGAUUUAUUGACAGGAUGAAGGGAGCUCACAGGAGGCUUGGGGAAAGGGUGGGCAGCAUCUUCUAUCUACAAGGUCAUUGUCUUGGAUCAAUCUGGUCAAGAACCUACCCUAGCAUUCCUGCUACCAUCACAGCAGUAAUUCUUGACACCCCAGAGGCUUCUGCUGCAACAAUCUGCACCGCAGCUCUUAUCAGUCUUGACUCAUUUUCAAGUCUUGGGGUGAGUGCUUGAUAGGUUGAACUUAGGUCACAUCAUUACCACCUGGUUGUAAGGUGGGAUGGGGACAGUCAUCCAAAGUUCUGCCCUGUUGAUGGAAAUUCAGUUGGAGUUGUUUUUUUCUUUCCCCCAAAUCACAUAUGGUGGUGGAAGGAUAAUUCCCCAUGAGGAAGUUAGGUUAUUUUUGGCAAUAAAAUUUGAUAAGAACUACUGAAGGAGGAUUCUGUUUGUCAAUGUCCAUCAACUGUGGUUAGAUGCAGUCUUGUGUGGCCAAUGCUAUGAGAGACCUACCCUGUUAAUCUGAAGCCCCACCCAGCACCACUGGCCUUGCUCUGGGGAGUCAAUCAAGAACAGGGAGUCCCCUGCUGCACUCCAGGGGUGAAGCAAGCCUCAUUCCAAGGACUCUGUAUCUUUUAUGUGCAUUAGGUCUAUGUUAGUUCUUUGAUUUACCUACCUGGCUCUGAUCCUUGCCCUUGACUCAUUCCCAGACAUCCUGUCCUUGAUGUCUGUGGGAUCUUGGGCUUUGUCUUGAUUGCCUGGCCUCUCUGAAUAUGUGAUUUCAAGCUCUCUCCAACUGAGUAGGUCAGGUAAGACCAUCAGAUUGCUGUAUUUUUUCUCCCAUAUGUUUGUUCUUCUAACUACACCACACUUUCCUAUUUGGACUCCUAUAGCCAUAACACAUUGCGAUUCUUUUUCUUUCCUGCUGCUGGAUAGAGGCAAAGGGAAGAAGCAAGAAUAAAAACAUCAUCGUGUGUUUCCUUUGGAGACAGAGCAGACUGACCCGUGUGAUGUGAGUGCUCCAAACCCAAUGCUGGCUUACUCUCCAGCUUAAACUCUGCAAUGAUCUCUGCAGCCUUCCAAAUUAACUUCAAGUCACUAGGCAGGCAAAACAUCCCUGAGCUAUUUGAUUCCCAUUCCAGGACUGAGCUUUGCCAAGCUACUUUUAGUUUCCCAGGCAACCUCUGCUCUCUCUCAUCUUCAUCCCUCACACACAGGAAGUUUACCUCUAGCAUUUGUAGGGCCCAGAACUUGAGUACAGAUGGAGGUCACAGGCCAUAUUUCUAAAUUCUUCAAAUGGGUAGAUUAAGCUUCCACCACGUUACAUAAAAUGUGUUCUAUUCUCCACCUUUGACAAAAAUGCCUUUAUAACUACCUAGAAAGCUAUGUUUAGAUUUUGAAUUCUCAGACUCUUCAGAGUUCCACAUCAGAAUGACACAGAGCAGGAGAGCACUCAGCAUCCAGCCCACCAGCCUUCUCUUCCCACCUUGAUCUGUCCUGCACGACAUGUUUUGCACGUGAGUGUUUGGACAACCCAGCCUGCACAACCAGGCGCCGUCCACACCCCCUGCAAAUGACCAUUCCCUAGCAACGAGCACAUAAGCAAAUUUGGCCCUCUCUUAGGAGGACAGAAGCCACACAGGUUCUGCAAGGGGGCCUGGAGCCACUGGGGCAAGGACUUCUGGGGUCCUGGUUUCUAGAGCAUUGUCUAGAAUGGAAAGUGUGGGAAUGGGUUCUGGGUGGGCAGAAGCCCUUGGCCCUGCAGACUCUGUAAGCACAGGAAGGGACUGAGCUGGAGGAGCGCUAGAGCACCAGGUCUCAGUGCUGGGUCCGAGGCUGAUGCUGGUACACAUUUUUCCCUUCUGCCUAGGAUGCUCUUUCCUCUACUUUGUCUAAUUGACCCAAAUUCAGCUCUCAGGUGUCCUCAUAUUCCUCCUCCUUCCUCGAAGAGAAGUCUUCUUAAUUCUCCCAGGGUAGGGUUCAUGUUCCAACUAAACUGACCGAAACACUCACCAUGUGACUCUGAGUAAGUGAUUCAACCUAUCAGCACCUCAGUUUACUUGCAAGACUAUCAUAUGGGUAUAAGAGUUACUGCAUGUAGAAUUUUAGAACAGUUCCUGAUAGAAACUCUUUUAAUGAUUAUUACACAAACACAGCGCACUGUACUUACUCCUAUAGGACUACUUCACACUGCUUUGUCACUAUAUGUUUUCUCACACCUCUCUUCCAGCAGAUAAUGUGCUUCUUGCAAUCAAAAACUUAAUUUUAUCUAAUGUUGUAUUCCUAACACAAAGCCCAAUAUAUGUAACAUAGUAGGUAUUCUACAAAGGUGUAUCCAGUAGAUGAACUGCCCUGAGGGGAGUUGGAAUUUUCAGCUUGAAGUGUUCAUGCUACAGUCCAUGAGCACCAAUAGGAAAAUCCCUGGAAGGCUGAACUCAGCUUCUCAGAUUCUUCUGACUCUAGGCUCUUAGAAGAUUAGAUGCAGAUGGUAGAAAGGAGCUAGAACUGUGUCAAUGAGUGGCAUAGAGAAGAAAUAUUUAAGUGGCAGUCCUACCCAGGGAUUAAAUAUGAUCGUACAAGACAUUAAUCUUAUGUCCUGGUAAAGAUUUACCAUCCAAAACAUUACAGCACAUGUAAUAUUGUAUUUGUCCUCACAUGAGCCAAAGGAUCCAUCAAGCAUUCCUCCCAGGGCUUUGAAACCACAUGUUUCUGGGCAUCUAUGAUCUGAGGAGUAUGUCUCUGUUUUCUUUAAUUGGAUCUGUUUAUUCUGAUGACUUGCAGAUAAGCAAAGCUCAGGAAAUACGGUCAGGAGAAAGUCUUUAAUGAUGUUUGCUUGAUUACAAUUAUGAAACUGCUUUGCAGAGCCUUCCCCAUCAUUUACUCAAGUGGUUGCUAAGUAAUUUCCGAUCCAGUCCCACAAUUAGAAUGAAUGGGCCUGGCUGCUGGUUGGUCAUGAAACUGCUCUGUUCAUCAUUCAUUCAUUCACUAGGGGUUGUCCUGAACUGUAAUUGGAUGUAGCAGAAUGCUUUGCACAGUGCCCCAAAACAAAAAAAAAAAAUGAAGAAAAAUUGAAAACCCUAAUUGAACUAACUUUUCCCUUCUUUUAAAGUCCUUUUUACUCAUGUAGCCAUUGCAUAUAAUAAUAGUAUACUUUUUUUAAUGUUUAAAGCAUGGCAAAUAGGACUUCUCAAAUUUAAUCAGAAUAAAAACUGAGCAUCUAAAGACAGUAUGAAAUUUUCUCUUUUAUCAGAUCAUUAUAAUUUAUAAUAAUUAUUUUUAUUAUGACAAACACCUAUACAGUGUUUGUAAUGUGCUAGGCACUGAGUACUUUGUGUAUAUUAACACAUUUAAUUCUUACAAAGAUCCUAAGAGGUCUGAACUAUCCUUGUUCUUACUCUACAAAUGAGAAGACUGAGGCAUGGAGAGUUAGGUAUUUUGACUAAGGUUAUACAAUAAGUGGCAAGGCCAGGAACCCAGCCCACCUGUUUCUAGAGUCUGGUCACUUCACAAUUAUGCUCUGUGGUGUAAAAAAAUACUUAAAGGCAUUUUUCACCUAGAGAGGCUUUAUCCAGUAAAAAUAAAGAGGAUAAUAUUAAUACAGACAUCAUUGUACUCAUUUUCAGUUUCAUGCAUAUUUUUUAUUUCUGAGCAACGUGGUCUUGCUAUGACGGAAUACAUAAUAUACUGAUGCAUUAUAUGGCUGGUUGUGGUACGGGUUAGUGAGUUUUCGCUAAUGGAAUUAUACCUUACUACGUUGAGCAUCUGACAUUUUGGCUUUUCUAUGUUUUGGAACUGACUUUCCCAAAUGAAGACUUUUCUGAAUGAAAUGAAACUGAAGUUGAAUGAAGUGCUGGGGUGGGGGGUGGGGGGGGCGGUGUGCUCUCCACCCUGGAAUCCAUGUACUCUGACAUGGAGGUCUUGCUGCCAUGGAAAUGUCAUGUCAUCAUGUUUCAGUGCUGACAUGGUAAGAUUUUGAUUCUGCGUUUACCCUACAUUCUUCCUUUCCUUAGAUUCCCCGCUUCCUGGAUA